Molecule: long non-coding RNA, 1239 nt
Organism: Bos indicus x Bos taurus (hybrid cattle)
Lineage: Eukaryota; Metazoa; Chordata; Mammalia; Artiodactyla; Bovidae
Source: Ensembl
AUGGAUAAACAGCAAACUGCGAGUGAAACCAAACCUUCUGCUUCUCAGCCCUUGUCCUUUCAACUACUGUUAACAGCAGAUGCUGUAACAACAGAUGGGGCCCCUUCCAUAUCCUCUCAGCCUACCCCGGAAGUGGCCUGCAGAGCACUCCAUGCUGGCCUGGGGCUCCAUGUCUCUCUCCGCCUAAGGACAUCCUCUAGCUGUGUGUGUGGAAGCGCACACCAAGAGCAGAACCAGCCAACAAGGACCGCUUCAUCAGUUCGACAAUCGGAGUCCUGUUCCACAGUCUCUCCCAGGGUGCCCUGCAGGACUGACCUCCAGCUGCCGAGAGUCUCCUCUCCUCUCCCUCACGUGCUCACCUCCCUGCUAAACUGCUGCCUGCAUACCUUCUAAGACCCUGGUUCCAGCACCACCUGCUGUGGCCCAGCAGAGAAGCAGGAGCAGGUGCAGGAGAUAGAGCAGAAUAUGGUUUGGAUCUGGGAUAUAGCUCUAAAAAUGUUUGAAAAGAAAUUCCUGAAAUGUGUGAAUUUCAAUAGAACAAAUGUUUCUCCUAAAGGCUUGGGGAAGUUUCAAACUUCAAACACUGAAGGAGGAGAGUCUUAGAAGCAGAAGAGUUUAUAGACCCAUUGACAGGGAGCGUGCAUGCUCAGUCACUCAGUCGUUCAGUCAUGUCUGACUCUUUUGUGACCCCAUGGACUGUAGCCCUCCAGGCUCCUCUGUCCAUGGGAUUCUCCAGGCAAGAAUACUGGAGUGGUUUGCUAUUUCCUACUCCAGAGGAUGUUCCCAACCCAGGGAUUGAACUUGCAUCUUCUGCAUCGGCAGACAGAUUCUUUACCACUGAGCCACCUGGGAAGCCCUAUUCAGAGGGAGAGGAGCAUUGAAAAAGCAAAUCUUAGUUAACAGAAAUUUCAUUACAGUGACUCAGGAUAAAGUGCUUCUCUGGCCAGCACGUUGGCUGGUCUCCUCCAUUUUAGCAUGGACAAAUUGAGCAGGGGAGGCUCACUGUCAGAUUCUUAGGCUGGGACCCAGCUUCCAAGGAAUUUAGGAAACCUGCUCCUGCCACCUUCAUAAACUCUAAGUAUUUGAAAACAACCAGGACCACUAGGGCUGUCUCUGUCCUCUGACUCAUCCCACGGAGGCAGGGCUCCUGGAAAGAAGCCUCAAGAAGGGACCCUGGAGUGGUCCUCGCCAUUGCCUGCUUAUAUCUUGCUCCUCCAGGAGGGGAAAGGCUACUGCCUG